AGAGUUUGAUUAUGGCUCAGGGUGAACGCUGGCGGCGUGCUUGACACAUGCAAGUCGAACGGUAUGUGGCAACACAUAGAGUGGCGAACGGGUGAGUAACACGUGGGAACGUACCCUCUGCAGGGGGAUAACUGACCGAAAGGACAGCUAAUACCGCAUAAGACCGAGAGGAGAAAGGUGCAACAGCAUCGGCAGAGGAGCGGCCCGCGGACCAUCAGCUAGUUGGUGGGGUAAGAGCCUACCAAGGCAACGACGGAUAGCCGGCGUGAGAGCGUGGCCGGCCACAAGGACACUGAGAUACGGGUCCUACUCCUACGGGAGGCAGCAGUGCGGAAUUUUAGAUAAUGGAGGCAACUCUGAUCUAGCGACGCCGCGUGCAGGAAGAAGGUCUUCGGAUUGUAAACUGCUGUGGUAAGGGAAAAAUGCCAUGUAGAGUGGAAAGCUACAUGGAGGGAUGGUACUUUACUAGAAAGCCCCGGCUAACUACGUGCCAGCAGCCGCGGUAAUACGUAGGGGGCGAGCGUUACCCGGAAUCACUGGGCGUAAAGGGAGCGUAGGUGGCCUGACAUGUCGACUGUGAAAACCCGGAGCUCAACUCCGGACUUGCAGUUGAAACUGCCAGGCUUGAGGACGGUAGAGGAAGACGGAACUGCCAGUGUAGGGGUAAAAUCCUUAGAUAUUGGCAGGAACGCCGGUGACGAAGGUGGUUUUCUGGGCCGGUUCUGACACUGAUGCUCGAAAGCCAGGGGAGCGAACGGGAUUAGAUACCCUGGUAGUC
RNAcentral lists this ribosomal RNA (778 nucleotides) under Kosmotoga sp. enrichment culture. Its description in RNAcentral is "bacterial SSU rRNA". It matches the Rfam family "Bacterial small subunit ribosomal RNA", at positions 8 to 795 of the family's 1533-position model. The record is from RNAcentral. Lineage: Bacteria; Thermotogati; Thermotogota; Thermotogae; Kosmotogales; Kosmotogaceae.